RNAcentral lists this ribosomal RNA (637 nucleotides) under uncultured bacterium. RNAcentral's name for it is "bacterial SSU rRNA". It matches the Rfam family "Bacterial small subunit ribosomal RNA", at positions 56 to 670 of the family's 1533-position model. The record is from RNAcentral.
UGCAGUCGAGCGAGGACGUGGCUUCGGCCACGAGUCGAGCGGCGAACGGGUGAGUAACGCGUGGGCAACCUGCCCGGAAGUGGGGGAUAGUUUCGCGAAAGCGGAGGUAAUACCGUAUACGUCCACUAAGACAUAAGUUUUAGUGGAGAAAGGUUGGGACCCUUCGGGGCCAGCCGCUUCCGGAUGGGCCUGCGUCCGAUUAGCUUGUUGGUGGGGUAAUGGCCUACCAAGGCUGCGAUCGGUAGCCGACCUGAGAGGGUGAUCGGCCACAUUGGGACUGAGACACGGCCCAGACUCCUACGGGAGGCAGCAGUGGGGAAUAUUGGGCAAUGGGCGAAAGCCUGACCCAGCGACGCCGCGUGGGGGAUGACGGCUUUCGGGUUGUAAACCCCUGUCAGGAGGGACGAAAUCUUUGCGGUGAAUAGCCGCAAAGUCUGACGGUACCCCCAAAGGAAGCCCCGGCUAACUCCGUGCCAGCAGCCGCGGUAAUACGGAGGGGGCAAGCGUUAUUCGGAAUUACUGGGCGUAAAGCGCGCGCAGGUGGCGUGACAAGUGGUUGGUGAAAGCCCUCGGCUCAACCGAGGAAUUGCCUGCCAAACUGUUUCGCUUGAGGCUGGGAGGGGGAGAGCGGAAUUCC